RNAcentral lists this ribosomal RNA (468 nucleotides) under uncultured bacterium. RNAcentral's name for it is "partial 16S ribosomal RNA". It matches the Rfam family "Bacterial small subunit ribosomal RNA", at positions 28 to 507 of the family's 1533-position model. The record is from RNAcentral.
GACGAACGCUGGCGGCGUGCUUAACACAUGCAAGUCGAACGGAAAGGCCCUGCUUUUGUGGGGUGCUCGAGUGGCGAACGGGUGAGUAACACGUGAGUAACCUGCCCUUGACUUUGGGAUAACUUCAGGAAACUGGGGCUAAUACCGGAUAGGAGCUCCUGCUGCAUGUUGGGGGUUGGAAAGUUUCGGCGGUUGGGGAUGGACUCGCGGCUUAUCAGCUUGUUGGUGGGGUAGUGGCUUACCAAGGCUUUGACGGGUAGCCGGCCUGGGAGGGUGACCGGCCACAUUGGGACUGAGAUACGGCCCAGACUCCUACGGGAGGCAGCAGUGGGGAAUAUUGCACAAUGGGCGGAAGCCUGAUGCAGCAACGCCGCGUGCGGGAUGACGGCCUUCGGGUUGUAAACCGCUUUCGCCUGUGACGAAGCGUGAGUGACGGUAAUGGGUAAAGAAGCACCGGCUAACUACGUG